UGUGCAAUCUAGGUUCUUUGCCCAACUUGGGUAAAUGGGCAGCCAAAAGAGGCCCAAUACCAACAGUUUUUCAUGAGAGAUGAAGAGUUAUAUAACUGCUGCAAUUAAUGCCUUUAUAACUACCAGUAGAAAUUCAAGAGACAAUGGGCAACUAUUAGGAUCACCUUACAAUCAUUAGGCAUUCAUGAUGGCUUAUUAUUAUGUGAUAGUGGGUGAGUUGAUGGGUGGUUGGUGGUAAGUUAGUGUAGGUUAGAUUCAAUAUAUUUAGAAGUCUAUAAAUUGUGAGGAUGACUUAGGCCAAAGUAAAGAAAAAGAAAAAUAGGUAAAAACACAAGAGGAGUUGUAUAUUGUAAUCAUAUUUUUCUAAGUAGUGGAGUACUUAAUUUUUUUGGGAACCUCUACCUCUCUCUCUUCCCUCGUUUUGCAUACUUAGUUGUAGGGCGCGUAGGUCCAUUCUAGCAACAAGGAGCAAGACUUGCUCAUUUUCGAGCAGGAAGGUAGGCACCGCACCGACUUUGCGAAUAAAAAUGCUACGACCUUGACAGUUGGUAUCAGAGCCGAUUCGAGGAGGAACCAUGUCAUCAUCGGAUGCUGCUGUCAUCGAUGUAAUUGCUGAGCCUCUGAAGCAGACCAACCAGAAAAGGAGCAAGGAGCUGUAAGAAUUUAUCCGGCACAAAAAUCGCAGCGGAAAAUAAAAUUGUAUUUUCGAAAACCAAAAAUCCAUAUCACAUAUGAACCAAAAUAAAACAAAUCAAUCCAGUGCCGGUGGAUCAUUCUCAUGUUGCAAUGUAAAAUAAAAUCUAACCUAAACAGAUUUAAAGUUCAUGUUACAUUACCUCGGACCAGUUAAGGUCUCUUGAUCUACUGUACGGUUGAAAUUGAGAUUCCGAUUAGCCGCGCACGUGCCCGGCCUCUACGUGUAUCCACACGGAAUUGAUCUAGAUCCAACGCCUUCCGUCGCACGGAACUGAUGAGCCGCAGAUUACCAAGACGGUGCUAGCAGUCUUGUAAUAUCCACGUUCCCUCUUGUGAGAUGUACUGAUUUUUAGAAGAUCUAAUAGAGACGGAUUAUAUUAUUUUUCUUUCUUCUUCUGAGCUUAUAAAAAAUUAUCCUCGCUUGUAUAGAUAUGUAUAUAUAUAUCUAUAUAUGUUAAUUAACUCCAUCCAUCAAGCAUAAUGUAUACGUGGGCAACAACUUAACUAAUUAAGCCGCAGCUCACGUACACCAUCUCAGCGUACAAAUUGGCACCCUCGCAAUCUGUUGCAACCAAUUAGAUCAUAUCCAAUUAGUUGCUAUACUAAUUUGAUCACAUCCAAUUAGUUGCUGCAUAGGAUAAUUAAACAGUAAAUUUAUGUUUAUCCAUAUGGAUAUUUUAUCUUUAUCCUUCUCUUUAAAUUAGAUCUUAUCCAUUAUAAUUAAAUAUUCAUACUUAAGUCUAAUCUCAUUAGAAUAUUAUUAUCUCAUAAUAAUUUGUGAAUAUUUAAUUAUUCUCUAAUCUAAUUAGAGAUUAAAUCUAUCGUAACAUUCAAAUUAUAAUUCUCACUAUUUUCACUAAACUAUUUAGUGUAUUAAUUAGACUCAUCUUAUCAAAUUGGAUGCACACAAUUCCCAUUGUGUGUGACCGCGUAGGUCCAUUAUCAUUCGGCAGUGGAAUUCAAUAUUAAACUCUUUAAUAUUGAAUUAGAACUCUUCUAAUCUAUGAAAUAAUUUAUUUUAAAUUAUUUCAGCUUCUCACUGUCCGUGAGUGACACCUAGCAGUAUAUCACGGUAAUCCAGAAUGAUGAUGAAAAAUGAACCUUUCCGCUAUCAGUUAUCGUGUGAUUAAUUCCUUCCAACACAACGUUCCGAUCGAACUAAAAUUAUGAUUACUCGCCAAAUCUUAUUAUUCGAUCAUAUGACUAGAAUAUCUAAAACUGACUCAAUAUGGUAACACAGCUGGAAACUCUUUCCACACACCACGUACCCUGGCCAAGGAUUUUUCGAGUCAAGUUCGACAGUCUACAUAGGACGUUCUCUCUCACUAUUGAGAGUGUUGAAUUCCUUAUUGCGCAUUCAUAUGCCUCCCUAUAUAAACUACUACAGCCAAUCAGUACCAGACAUAGACCAAUGAUUAGAGUCUAAGUAUUAGUACAGUUAAACAGUAGCAAUCUACAUGUGAAGCAACCAUGAUGCCUCAGGUCUAAGGAGUACUUCACACAACUGUAGCAAAGAACUAGUCACUGGCGAAUUCGGAACCAUGUGACUGUUCAACUAAAUGGUCACGCUCAGUGUACUUGUUCUCUAACAAGCACCUGCAUGCUUACUUUAGUGUCCCUACACUAAUGACUUGAGCUUCGUCACCUCAACUUAGAAGUAUAGCAUACACCGGCCUAUCCGGAAAUAUCAUCGUCCUUAUGAUAUUCCUAUGGCUAGGAGCAUUUAAGAAUCUUGUACAAAGAAAUAUAUAUCUCAAAUUCCUAACUCUUAGGAAUAUAUUUUCUUAACAAAGAUUCAAUGGACGAUUCAUAUAAAUGUAUUGUACUGCUAACAAUAAAUAUGAAUAAAGCUUGCCCUUUAUUAAUUAAGAAAAAUACUUAAUAUGUUCACUAGCCUGUGUCACCGAUUGGCUUUAGGGUAUAUCACUAACAAUCUCCCACUUACACUAAUGCAAAUCGCUCAUGUAUCUCAUACCCAUUCUUUCUAAAUGCACAUCCAGCUUUUGAAGUGUGAGCGGCUUAGUAAGGGGAUCCGCUAUAUUGUCUACGGAUGCUACUUUCUGCACAACAAUCUGACGCUCAUCUAUAAAUUGUCGGAUGAUGUGGUAGCGUCGAUCUAUAUGCUUGGACUUCUGGUGAGACCUCGGUUCUUUAGCUUGCGCUAUAGCUCCAUUAUUGUCACAGUAAAGUGGCAUUGGCUCCUCAAUAGAAGGCACCACUCCUAGUUCCGUGACGAAUUUUCGAAGCCAAACUGCCUCCUUUGAUGCCUCAGAUGCUGCAAUGUACUCUGCCUCAGUAGUGGAAUCUGCUGUUGUAUUCUGUUUGGAACUCUUCCAAAUGAUAGCCCCACCAUUCAAUAUGAAGACAUGCCCUGAUGUUGACUUUCUAUCAUCAACAUCUGACAUGAAGUCUGAAUCUGUGAAGCCUUCUAACGUUAGCUCAUUUCCACCAUACACUAGACACAAAUCCUUAGUUCUUCUCAAGUACUUAAAGAUAUUCUUCACAGCAGUCCAGUGCUCUUCACCUGGAUUAGACUGAUAUCUGCUCGUAACACUUACGGCAUGUGCGAUAUCUGGUCUUGUACAUAGCAUAGCGUACAUGAGACUUCCUAUUGCGGAAGCAUAGGGAAUUCUGCUCAUACGCUCUCUUUCCUCAGGUGUUUUAGGACACAUCAUCUUGGAAAGAUUAAUUCCAUGUCUAAGAGGAAGAAGACCCCUUUUGGAAUUUUCCAUGUUGAACCUCUUCAACACAUCUUCUAUGUACAUCUGCUGUGACAAACCGAUCAACCUCUUAGAUCUAUCUCUAUAGACCUUAAUGCCGAGGAUAUAGGCUGCCUCUCCUAGAUCUUUCAUCAAGAAAUUCUGGGACAACCAAACCUUGACAGAGGUCAUCAAACUUGCAUCAUUUCCGAUCAAUAGAAUGUCGUCCACGUACAAUACGAGAAAGACAAGUUGGCUCCCACUGGUCUUCUUGUAAACACAAGGUUCAUCUUGAUUUCUCAUGAAGCCAAACGUUUUGACUGCAUCAUUGAACCGUAUGUUCCAACUCCUCGAAGCCUGCUUCAAUCCAUAAAUGGAUCUCUGAAGCUUGCAUACUUUAUGUUUCUGGCUAUUGGACACAAAUCCCUCAGGCUGCUGCAUAUAUAUGUCCUCCUCUAUGAAUCCAUUGAGGAAAGCAGUUUUUACGUCCAUUUGCCAGAUCUCAUAAUCAUAGUAUGCGGCUAUGGCAAGUAAUGUUCGCAUGGAUUUAAGCAUGACCACAGGAGAGAACGUUUCUUUAUAGUCGAGACCUUCUCGUUGACUGUAGCCUUUUGCUACAAGUCUCGCCUUGUAUGUCUCUACUUUUCCAUCCACACCAAUCUUUUUCUUGAAAAUCCAUUUACAACCAAUAGGUACUAUACCUUCUGGCGGAUCAACAAGAGUCCAUACGUGAUUGGUAUACAUUGAGUCCAUUUCGGACUUCAUAGCUUCUUGCCAUUUUAUUGAGUCGAUGUCUAACAUCGCCUCUUCGUAACUAGUAGGAUCAUCCCUGCGAUCACUAUCGCCAAUGAGGAACAUUUCCUUUGUGCAUUCCAUAACGAAAUCUCGAUAUUUCUCUGGAGGUUGGGAUAUUCUACCAGAUCUUCGAGGUAAUUGUGUAAUAGUGGGUUCAGUUUGAAUAGCUUGUUCAAAUUGUUCUUGAGAAAUUGUUUGCUCAUUUGAGACCAUCUCUUUUAGCACUAUCUCGUUUCCGGCACCACCUUCUUGGAUAAACUCUUUUUCCAAAAAUAUUGCAUGUCGGCUAACAAUCACGUUUUGUUCACUUUGAAGAUAAAAAUAGUAUCCCAUAGACUCCUUGGGAUAACCAAUAAAUCUUCCUUUAUCCGACCUAGCCUCCAAUUUAUCUGUUUUAAGUUUUUUAACAAAAGCCGGGCAUCCCCAAAUCCUUAAAUGAUUGAGACCCAGUUUUUUGCCAAACCACAUCUCAUGCGGGGUACAAGGAACAGAUUUUGAAGGCACCCUGUUUAGAAUAUAGGCUGCGGUUAAUAGAGCAUAACCCCAAAGAAAUAAAGGUAAGUCUGUGAAGCUCAUCAUCGAUCGUACCAUAUCUAAUAAAGUACGAUUUCUUCUUUCUGAAACUCCAUUCAAUUCCGGAGUUCCAGGAGGUGUCUAUUGUGAGAGAAUACCGUUUUCUCUGAGAUAAUUUAAAAAUUCAGUACUAAGGUAUUCGCCUCCUCGAUCUGAUCGAAGAGCCUUAAUACUUUUUCCUGUUUGCUUCUCUACUUCAUGUCUGAAUUCUUUGAACUUUUCAAAGGUUUCAGACUUGUGUUUCAUAAGAAACACAAACCCAUACCGUGAAUAAUCAUCGGUAAAAGUCACAAAGUAAAGAUAACCACCCCGAGCCGUUUCACUAAACGGUCCACACUCAUCCGAGUGUAUAAGGGCAAGUAACUCUGUGGCUCGCUCUCUUUGUCCAACAAAGGGUGACUUGGCCAUUUUGCCUUGAAGACAAGACUCACAAACUGGAUAGGAUUCUAAAACACAAGUUCGCAAGUGCCCAUCCUUGGCCAGUCGGUUUAUCCUAUCUUCUUCAAUGUGACCUAGUCGUAGGUGCCAUAGAUACUUUUGGUUCAGACUAUUAUCUCUAGGUCUCUUCUCUUUAUGUUCAAUAUUAGCAACAUUUCCAUCCAGAUUUAGAAAGUAGAGAUUGUUAACUAAACUACCAGUAGCUAUCAAUUUAUUUUGGAAAUAAAUAAAACAACCAUUAGUUUCAAAAAUAAAACGAUAACCAGUUCGUACUAAAGUUGUAACCGAAAUCAAAUUCCUAACAACUAAAGAAGAAUAAUAACAAUUCUCUAAUUCUAAAAUAUGUCCAGAUGGAAGUCUCAAAGAACAGCUCCCUACGGCUAACACAGCAACACUUGCUCCAUUUCCCACACGCAGGGUCACCUCGCCGUCCUUCAGUGUUCUACUUCCCUUUAGAUCCUGCAAUGAAUUACAAAGAUGUAAGGUGCAUGCAGAAUCUAAUACCCAAGAAGAAGUAGAGCCAAUCAUAUUGGCCUCAACGAUGAGCAUUUCGUUCGUACCUUCAGAAGGCCCCUCCUUCAAUUUUUCUUUUAGGCUAGAAAGAUAUUCUUUACAAUUUCUCUUCCAAUGCCCAUCCUUACCGCAAUGGAAACAUUUUCCUUUAGCCUUGCCAUUGUCGGAUUUCUUGAAAUUUGCUUUCUUCACUCCACCCGAUGACUUGAACUUAGGAAACUUUUUCUUUCCUUUGAACUUUCCUUUUGAAGCUCUUUCAACCGCCAUCGCCAUCCCGUUUGUCUUCAAUGUGCCUUCCGCUGUGAUUAGCAUAUUCAUAAGCUCGGACAAAGUGGCAUGAAUCCUAUUCAUGUUGAAGUUCAUAACAAAAUGAGAGAACGAUUCUGGCAAAGACUGUAGAACUAGAUCGAUCUGCAAGUCCGCGUCCAAGUUCAAGCCGAGAUUUUUCAGCUGCUCCAUGUCGUCAAUCAUUUUGAGACAAUGUUCACUGACCGACGUGCCUGGAGUCAUCUGAGCUUUAAACAAUCGCUUUGAUAUCUCAUAUCUUGCGGUUCGGCUUUGUGCACCAUACAACUCUUGUAAGUGCGCAAGCAUCUCAUAUGCUCGAGUAUAGUUCUCAUGCUGCCGUUGCAGCUCAUUCGACAUAGAGGCCAGCAUGUAAUAUUUAACACGCUGGUCAUCAUCAACCCACAUGUCUCUCUCCUCAACUUCUUCAGUUGUGGCUUCAGCGGUAAGCUCGGGAAUUGGAGCUUGAAGAACAUAAUCAAGCUUUUCAAUACCUAAAACAAUUUUUAGGUUACGAAGCCAGUCUUGGAAAUUAGGGCCGGUUAAUCGGUUAGAUUCCAUUAUGCGAGAAAGAGGGUUAGAGGCAUUCAUUUUGUCUGCAGAAAGUAGAGAUUUUAGUUAGAUAAGUAAUUUUUUCUUUUUAACCAAUUAAACCAGGGUCUAUUAGUUUAAAAGGUUCCUCCCACUAAUUUUAUCGAAUUUCUACACUCCCUAAGUAGAAAGACGGAAAUCCUCAUCCGUUAGAUUUCUUAGUGGCGAUUGGGGUUUCAUAAAUUACGACUCACCUCACCGGACAGUUUCUUGGAAAACCGUAAUUUAAUGAACGGGUAACAUCUUACCUCGACACAUCUUAUGUGCAAUCCAAUCGUCCUUUGGCCUCUAAGAUUUUUACGCCUCACCGGACGGUUUCUUGGCGCAACAACCUCAGUUAAGUCUAAUCCUCCUCUCCUACAAAUAUGGAAUUAUCAAAAGACCCUCACCGGACGGUUUCUUGGAUCCAUUGAUAAUGCCAUAUUGUAGCAUCUUAUGUCAAGAUGUUCGCAUAGUUCAAACACAAGUAGCCCCAUGGGACCAUGCGUGACUACUCAAUGCUGAAACAAUGCUACAUCUUGUGAUCGGUGGAAGGCCACGAUAGAGCAUCAAAUGCCCCUUCGUUUCAACUUAAUAUUUUAUAGAGAGUUUUAAAAUUAUAUAUCGGUCUCAUCAUCACAUGUUAUAUCUCAUAUAAAAUUAAUCACAUGUAUCACAUACACAAAAAUAAAUUGCAUAGUUUAGGGAUGAUCAUGGACUUUUCUGAUUCGACUCGAGCCGAUGAGUCAAAUCGGUCUAUAGGGUGAUACACACAUAUUCUCAACAAUUGCAAAUAUUAAGCCCUCUUCUUCUGUUGGAUUUGAUACAUCCUUUGAUGCCAUCACGAUUUGCGACGCCAAUCCAUCAACGCUUGAUGUGGAUUCUUCUCCAAAUAAUCCUAAUUUUAUCUAAUAAAAAUACAAGGAUUCGUAGAUCCCAAUAAAAUGGCACGCAGGCCCUUCGUGAUAAAAAAAUAUAUACAACCAUAAUUAAAUUACAAAUACACCCAUAAUCAAAUUACAAAUACAUCCAUAAUCACAUUACAAAUACAUCCAUAAUCACAUCACAGAAGUCUAAGGUCCAUGAUCAUCACCCAUCUAAAAACUAUGCAGAAAAUAAUAACCAAAUCGAUCUAAUCAUCGAUUAAAAAAUUAGAACUCAAUAAUAUGUUUUUCUCAUGUCUCCACGUAUUUAUUUUAUGGUGUGAAACCAAUAAAUCACACUACGUGCAACUUAAGAAAAACAAUAUCGAUCUCAUCGAAAACAGUUCCAAAAUUUCAAUCAAACCAUACAGAUCGUAAAUAUUUUACAUAGAACAUGAGAAUCGGCUCUGAUACCACUGUAAGAAUUUAUCCGGCACAAAAAAUCGCAGCGGAAAAUAAAAUUGUAUUUUCGAAAAACAAAAAUCCAUAUCACAUAUGAACCAAAAUAAAACAAAUCAAUCCAGUGCCGGUGGAUCAUUCUCAUGUUGCAAUGUAAAAUAAAAUCUAACCUAAACAGAUUUAAAGUUCAUGUUACAUUACCUCGGACCAGUUAAGGUCUCUUGAUCUACUGUACGGUUGAAAUUGAGAUUCCGAUUAGCCGCGCACGUGCCCGGCCUCUACGUGUAUCCACACGGAAUUGAUCUAGAUCCAACGCCUUCCGUCGCACGGAACUGAUGAGCCGCAGAUUACCAAGACGGUGCUAGCAGUCUUGUAAUAUCCACGUUCCCUCUUGUGAGAUGUACUGAUUUUCAGAAGAUCUAAUAGAGACGGAUAAUUAUAUUAUUUUUCUUUCUUCUUCUGAGCUUAUAAAAAAAUUAUCCUCGCUUAUAUAGAUAUAUGUAUAUAUAUAUAUCUAUAUAUCUUAAUUAACUCCAUUCAUCAAGCAUAAUGUAUACGUGGGCAACAACUUAACUAAUUAAGCCGCAGCUCACGUACACCAUCUCAUAGUAGAGCCGUACAAAUUGGCACCCUCGCAAUCUGUUGCAACCAAUUAGAUCAUAUCCAAUUAGUUGCUAUACUAAUUGGAUCACAUCCAAUUAGUUGCUGCAUAGGAUAAUUAAACAGUAAAUUUAUGUUUAUCCAUAUGGAUAUUUUAUCUUUAUCCUUCUCUUUAAAUUAGAUCUUAUCCAUUAUAAUUAAAUAUUCAUACUUAAGUCUAAUCUCAUUAGAAUAUUAUUAUCUCAUAAUAAUUUAUGAAUAUUUAAUUAUUCUCUAAUCUAAUUAGAGAUUAAAUCUAUCGUAACAUUCAAAUUAUAAUUCUCACUAUUUUCACUAAACUAUUUAGUGUAUUAAUUAGACUCAUCUUAUCAAAUUGGAUGCACACAAUUCCCAUUGUGUGUGACCGCGUAGGUCCAUUAUCAUUCGGCAGUGGAAUUCAAUAUUAAACUCUUUAAUAUUGAAUUAGAACUCUUCUAAUCUAUGAAAUAAUUUAUUUUAAAUUAUUUCAGCUUCUCACUGUCCGUGAGUGACACCUAGCAGUAUAUCACGGUAAUCCAGAAUGAUGAUGAAAAAUGAACCUUUCCGCUAUCAGUUAUCGUGUGAUUAAUUCCUUCCAACACAACGUCCCGAUCGAACUAAAAUUAUGAUUACUCGCCAAAUCUUAUUAUUCGAUCAUAUGACUAGAAUAUCUAAAACUGACUCAAUAUGGUAACACAGCUGGAAACUCUUUCCACACACCACGUACCCUGGCCAAGGAUUUUUCGAGUCAAGUUCGACAGUCUACAUAGGACGUUCUCUCUCACUAUUGAGAGUGUUGAAUUCCUUAUUGCGCAUUCAUAUGCCUCCCCAUAUAAACUACUACAGCCAAUCAGUACCAGACAUAGACCAAUGAUUAGAGUCUAAGUAUUAGUACAGUUAAACAGUAGCAAUCUACAUGUGAAGCAACCAUGAUGCCUCAGGUCUAAGGAGUACUUCACACAACUGUAGCAAAGAACUAGUCACUGGCGAAUUCGGAACCAUGUGACUGUUCAACUAAAUGGUCACGCUCAGUGUACUUGUUCUCUAACAAGCACCUGCAUGCUUACUUUAGUGUCCCUACACUAAUGACUUGAGAUUCGUCACCUCAACUUAGAAGUAUAGCAUACACCGGCCUAUCCGGAAAUAUCAUCGUCCUUAUGAUAUUCCUAUGGCUAGGAGCAUUUAAGAAUCUUGUACAAAGAAAUAUAUAUCUCAAAUUCCUAACUCUUAGGAAUAUAUUUUCUUAACAAAGAUUCAAUGGACGAUUCAUAUAAAUGUAUUGUACUGCUAACAAUAAAUAUGAAUAAAGCUUGCCCUUUAUUAAUUAAGAAAAAUACUUAAUAUGUUCACUAGCCUGUGUCACCGAUUGGCUUUAGGGUAUAUCACUAACAGGAGCCGCAGUCACUCAGAAAGGAGGUCGCAUCCUUGAAAUACCGUGCCUGGUUGCAAGAGGAUAUUACGACGAAAAUGGAGGAGCAGUUCUCUGUAUUUCUGCAAACUGUGAGUUUGUUGGAUAAUGAGCUUCACUUGAUGGAGAAGGAUAUUGUUACAGCUAUGGCAACAUUCCGCUAUCGUGUGAAGCAGUUUAAGACGGAUCUUGCCCGUCACAAUGAUGAGCGGAAUGUGCGAGAUGUGCUGCUUCAGGACAUUGGUGCCCAGGUCAAGGAGGUCGAGGACCUCAAGACAAGGGAGGCACUACGCAAGUGAACCGAGAGUAAUCAUGGCAAACUACCUAAGGUGAGCAAGGCUAAAGGUGGGAGAGAGUGUCAUGAUACAGGGGACGCAAAGGGGCACCAUCAAAGUUCAGGCCCAUCGACGAAGGAUCGGACCUUUACAAUCCCGUACCUUUGCGAGGAGGUGAAGUGUAGGAGGGCUGGGGGCCUCGAGAAGGACCUGAGUGAGGGUAAGAUUGAUAAGUCUCAAUCAAUGCUAGAGCAACUACCCAAGCGAGGGAAGCAUUGCACUAUCAAGCACAAAGCCAAGAAGGAGCCCGAGAGGACAAGGGAGUGUCCCGCAACUUGGCGGUGUGUACGUGUGUGUGUCGCGGCGAACAGGCACACUCGACGAUUUGGGCUCAACGAAAAAAUUAUCCACGCAGCGAGCUACUUGGUGUUUGCGUUCAGAGGUGUGAAGCACUAGGAACUGGUGCGGAAGUGAAGGGAGACUGCGGUAGCAAGGCUCGGGGCCGUUCGAGCGCGAAGGCUCGGCGGACUGCGCAGAAGGCUACACGGAUCGGGAGCAGCUUGGCGCCUGACGAGGGCGUCUGCGUGUUAGGUGGGGGAGAAUGUCAGGGACUUAGUGAAAUUGCUGUGCAAUCUAAGUCCUUUGCCCAACUUCGGUAAGUGGGCAGCUAAAGGAGGCCCAAAACCAGCAGCCUUUCAUAGGAGAUGAAGGGUUAUGUAACUACUGCAAUUAAUGCCUCUAUAACUGCGAGUGGAAAUCCAAGGGACAUGGGCAAUUCUUGGAUCACCUUACAAUCAUUAGGUAUUCAUGAUGGCUCAUUAUUAUAUGAUAGUGGGUGAGUUAAUGGGUGCUUAGUGGUGAGUUAGUGUAGGCUAGAUUCAAUGUAUCUAGGAGCCUAUAAAUUGUGAGGAUGGUUUAGCCUAAAGUAAAGAAGAAGGAAGAGAGGUGGAAACACAAGAAGAGUUGUGUAUUGUAAUCCUAUUUUCCUAAGUAGUAGAAUACUUAGUUUUUUUGGGAACCUCUGCCUCUCUCUCUUCUCUCCUUUUUGCAUACUUAGUCGUAGGGCAUGUAGGUCCAAGCUAGCAACAAGGAGCUAAGUUUGCCCAUCUUCGAACAGGAAGGCAGCGCUGCAUGCGUUUUGCGAACAAAAAUGCUAAAGCCGUGACAACUUGCUAUAAUACACCUCAUAUUACAGAAU
This 11390-nucleotide long non-coding RNA is filed under the name Ananas comosus (pineapple). RNAcentral's name for it is "long non-coding RNA (ACOM_LNC010514)". Lineage: Eukaryota; Viridiplantae; Streptophyta; Magnoliopsida; Poales; Bromeliaceae. The record is from RNAcentral.